RNAcentral lists this transfer RNA (70 nucleotides) under Vibrio cholerae O1 str. EC-0051. RNAcentral describes it as "partial tRNA-Arg". It matches the Rfam family "tRNA". Rfam says of the family: Transfer RNA (tRNA) molecules are approximately 80 nucleotides in length. Their secondary structure includes four short double-helical elements and three loops (D, anti-codon, and T loops). Further hydrogen bonds mediate the characteristic L-shaped molecular structure. tRNAs have two regions of fundamental functional importance: the anti-codon, which is responsible for specific mRNA codon recognition, and the 3' end, to which the tRNAs corresponding amino acid is attached (by aminoacyl-tRNA synthetases). tRNAs cope with the degeneracy of the genetic code in two manners: having more than one tRNA (with a specific anti-codon) for a particular amino acid; and 'wobble' base-pairing, i.e. permitting non-standard base-pairing at the 3rd anti-codon position. Lineage: Bacteria; Pseudomonadati; Pseudomonadota; Gammaproteobacteria; Vibrionales; Vibrionaceae. The record is from RNAcentral.
UAGCUCAGCUGGAUAGAGUACCUGGCUACGAACCAGGCGGUCAGAGGUUCGAAUCCUCUCGGACGCGCCA